This 100-nucleotide small nucleolar RNA is filed under the name Sciurus vulgaris (Eurasian red squirrel). RNAcentral's name for it is "Small nucleolar RNA U13 (ENSSVLG00005003971.1)". It matches the Rfam family "Small nucleolar RNA U13". Lineage: Eukaryota; Metazoa; Chordata; Mammalia; Rodentia; Sciuridae. The record is from Rfam by way of RNAcentral.
AUCCCUUUUGGUUCGUAAGUGAGUCAAUAGGGUGUUCAUGCUGUUUGAGAUGUGCCUCACUCCAAACCUCGUUAAAACAUCAGCAUAUACGUGUCUAAAA